Molecule: non-coding RNA, 73 nt
Organism: Podarcis lilfordi (Lilford's wall lizard)
Lineage: Eukaryota; Metazoa; Chordata; Lepidosauria; Squamata; Lacertidae
Source: the annotation of a GenBank genome assembly
AGCUAGUGUGGUACAGUGGUUAGAAUGCUGGUCUAGGACCUGGGAGACCAGGGUUCAAAUCCCUGUGCAGCCA